CUAAUUACCUAAAUAAAAAAAAGUGAAAGGGAUUAACAACACAAACAGAUGGAAUGGACCUUAUCUCAAUUGUCAAGUCCAAACUGAGGGGGGACGAUAGUUUGAUGGAGUGUGUGUGAAGAAUGUAAGCCAUUGGGCUCCCUACAGGCCCUAAGGCCCAAGAUGAAUGGGUCUGAUAAGGGAACAAACGCUGAAGGUCUUCCCCUUCACGCGUUCAGUAUCACCUACGAGGAAAUAGAGAGUGCGACGGCUGCCGCGCCAGGUUUCAUCACCGGCGGCGGCGAUUCGUGGAGAUAUCCGCGUCACCUCCCCCUUCGACUCUGCCAUCGAAACCAACAAAUCACCUACCACAUCCACACGCACUCGAUCUCAAUGGAGAGACCACGCGACUCCGGUGCGACUUGGAACGGCAAUGCAAUUUGUGGCGGACUAAGGCGAGCUCAAAUCAGAGUUCUAAAUUGCUAUACACUAUCCAAAUUAAGCAUAAAGUUGUUUGAGCGGAUACCUUGGUGAAGUCCAGCGUGAAGGUAAUCGCGAAUUUCCCAGUCCUUCUCGGUUUGCAACGUUCCUCUUCUUCUAUCUCGCGCUCGUUGCUAUCCGCCAAAGCUUGGAGUCUAAUCUGUCUGUCACUCGGCGUUUGUGCGGAUUAUUUGGAUUCGGAUUCGUCGUCUUUGUUCACUGAUCUCCCUUUGACAUUUGGAUCCUCUUCACUCUUUUGUUUCUGCUCUGCUUCUACCACGCUUCUGUCCUGGAUUGAAAGGAUGGCAACGCGAAAUGGCGGAAUUGUGGUGGUUCGCUAGAAAUUGAGGAGAACUUUUGCGGUGCGGGAAGAAGAAGUUGUGAGAGUCGGUUCCGCCUUCUGCAGGUUGAAGAAGAAAGAGGAUGAAGAGAGAGUUCUGAAAGGUUGAAGAAGGAAGAGGAGGAAGAGGAUGGAAGAACUCGUGAAAAUCGAAUCCAAAAAAAGAACCCUCAAAUUUACUCUGUUGAUGUCGUUCGCGUUUUGUUUGGCGUUGCAGCUUUUUGCAUGCUAUUCAAAGUUGCAUUCUGAUGUUCCGCUUAGCUUGCGCUUCGAGCCGCUGCAGUUUGUAGCUGCGUUUGGAUGGCUUCCGUUUCGGCAUUGGCUUGCAGUUGUUAUCCUUGGCUUAUGUAGCUCACAUUGUCUUGCGUUUUCGGAAGUUUGUUGUGUUGCUUUCGCGUGAGGCUUUUGUUUCUGUUUUGCAGCUUGUGUUGAUGGAGCGGCUUGCGCGUUUUGGCGUGUUUCCUUUUCUUUCACGCCGGCGUUGCCGUAUUGGCUUGUGGCUCGGUUGGUGGCUUUUCUUUUCCAAUUUCCGUAUUGGAUAUGUUUCCAACUGCAUUUCUCUUUCUUUCUUUGUCUUACUGGGCUAUAGCAUAGGAUGUAGGAUGUGGUGUAUUAGUAAAAUGGAUAUGUGUUAUAAGAUGAAUUUGGAUAAUGGUUCUCUCCUUUAUUUGAAUAUGGAUUGGAUAUCGUGUAAAAAAAGUGGAUUAAUUUGGUUUUGACAAAAUGGAUAUUGAAUCAAUAAAAUUGGGAUUGGAUAUUUGAACUUGGUUAA
Molecule: long non-coding RNA, 1571 nt
Organism: Lathyrus oleraceus (garden pea)
Lineage: Eukaryota; Viridiplantae; Streptophyta; Magnoliopsida; Fabales; Fabaceae
Exons: 2
Source: RefSeq, a predicted model, not a curated record